Molecule: small nucleolar RNA, 85 nt
Filed under: Cordyceps fumosorosea ARSEF 2679
Lineage: Eukaryota; Fungi; Ascomycota; Sordariomycetes; Hypocreales; Cordycipitaceae
Source: RNAcentral
UUUCCAUGAUGAGAAACCUUUUCAUCCAGUUCUGCUACUGAACCCCCUGAUGACUACCAAAUUACCAAACCAAGAUCUCUGAUGA